CUAAUGGAGUUUUUUACUUUUUCUUUUCAUCUUUAAUAAAGAUAAAUACUAAACAAAACAUCAAAAUCCAUUUAUUUAUCGGUGGUAAAUUAAACCCAAAUCCCUGUUUGGUCUCACAACUAACAUAUUUGGUCAGAUUGUAUCCAGUUCUGAAAGAACAUUUCCGCUUCUUUCAAAACUGAAAACGACAAUCUUUCUAGUUCCAAAUAAAUACCAAAGGAUCAAUACAAUAAGUUACUAAGGGCUUAUGGUG
Molecule: unclassified non-coding RNA, 253 nt
Filed under: Mycoplasmoides pneumoniae
Lineage: Bacteria; Bacillati; Mycoplasmatota; Mycoplasmoidales; Mycoplasmoidaceae
Description: Mycoplasma pneumoniae miscellaneous RNA
Source: RNAcentral